RNAcentral lists this ribosomal RNA (883 nucleotides) under Neoscytalidium dimidiatum. Its description in RNAcentral is "eukaryotic LSU rRNA". It matches the Rfam family "Eukaryotic large subunit ribosomal RNA", at positions 41 to 941 of the family's 3401-position model. The record is from RNAcentral. Lineage: Eukaryota; Fungi; Ascomycota; Dothideomycetes; Botryosphaeriales; Botryosphaeriaceae.
UAUCAAUAAGCGGAGGAAAAGAAACCAACAGGGAUUGCCUUAGUAACGGCGAGUGAAGCGGCAACAGCUCAAAUUUGAAAGCUGGCCCCCCCGGGGGUCCGCGUUGUAAUUUGUAGAGGAUGAUUCGGCGAGGGCUCCCGCCUAAGUCCCCUGGAACGGGGCGUCAUAGAGGGUGAGAAUCCCGUAUGCGGUGGGCUGCCUUAGCCAUGUGAAUCUCCUUCGACGAGUCGAGUUGUUUGGGAAUGCAGCUCUAAAUGGGAGGUAAAUUUCUUCUAAAGCUAAAUACCGGCCAGAGACCGAUAGCGCACAAGUAGAGUGAUCGAAAGAUGAAAAGCACUUUGGAAAGAGAGUUAAAAAGUACGUGAAAUUGUUGAAAGGGAAGCGCUUGCAGCCAGACUUGCCCGCAGUUGCUCAGCCGGUCUCCUGACCGGCGCACUCUUCUGCGGCCAGGCCAGCAUCAGUUCGGGCGGUCGGAUAAAGGCCCCGGGAACGUAGCUCCUCUCGGGGAGUGUUAUAGCCCGGGGUGGAAUGCGGCCAGCCUGGACUGAGGAUCUCGCUUCGGCUAGGAUGCUGGCGUAAUGGCUGUAAGCGGCCCGUCUUGAAACACGGACCAAGGAGUCUAACAUCUAUGCGAGUGUUUGGGUGUCAAACCCAUGCGCGUAAUGAAAGUGAACGGAGGUGGGAACCCUCGCGGGUGCACCAUCGACCGAUCCUGAUGUCUUCGGAUGGAUUUGAGUAAGAGCAUAGCUGUUGGGACCCGAAAGAUGGUGAACUAUGCCUGAAUAGGGUGAAGCCAGAGGAAACUCUGGUGGAGGCUCGCAGCGGUUCUGACGUGCAAAUCGAUCGUCAAAUUUGGGUAUAGGGGCGAAAGACUAAUCGAACC